GCCAACACACCACCUGCACCCACUGUACCAACUACUAGCUCUUUGAGGAGGUUGGUGAAGGUGCUUUCUCUGUGGUCUGCAGGUGUUUGAAGAAAACCUCCACACAGGAGUAUGCAGCAAAACCCAUCAAUGUCAAGAAGUUGUCUGCCUGAGAUCAUCAGAAAGUAGAACAUGAUGCUGAGAUAUGACUUCUUAAACAUUCAAAUAUUGUGGGACUCCAUGACAGUAUUUCUUAAGAAGGGUUUCACCACCUUGUGUUUGACCAGGUUACUGGUGGGGAGCUGUUUGAAGACAUAGUACCUAGAGAGUACUACAGUGAAGCAUAUGCCACCCACAUCUGAUUCUGGAGAGUGUUAACCAUAUCCACUAGCAUGGUAUUGUCCACAGGGACCUGAAGCCUGAGAACUUGCUGCUGACAAGUAAAUGCAGGGGUGUGGCCCAUCAAGAUGGCUAUUUUUAGCCUCACCAUCAAAGUCCAG
Molecule: long non-coding RNA, 479 nt
Filed under: Marmota monax (woodchuck)
Lineage: Eukaryota; Metazoa; Chordata; Mammalia; Rodentia; Sciuridae
Source: RNAcentral